UAGGGAAUAUUGCACAAUGGGCGAAAGCCUGAUGCAGCCAUGCCGCGUGUGUGAAGAAGGCCUUAGGGUUGUAAAGCACUUUCAGUAGGGAGGAAAAAGCUGGGUUAAUAUCCCAGUUAUAUGACGUUACCUACAGAAGAAGCACCGGCUAACUCCGUGCCAGCAGCCGCGGUAAUACGGAGGGUGCGAACGUUAAUCGGAAUUACUGGGCGUAAAGCGCGCGUAGGCGGUUCAUUAAGUGGGAUGUGAAAGCCCCAGGCUCAACCUGGGAACUGCAUUCCAAACUGACGAACUAGAGUACGAGAGAGGGGGGUAGAAUUCAGAGUGUAGCGGUGAAAUGCGUAGAUAUUCUGAGGAAUACCGGUGGCGAAGGCGGCCCCCUGGCUUGAUACUGACGCUCAGGUGCGAAAGCGUGGGGAGCAAACAGG
This 428-nucleotide ribosomal RNA is filed under the name uncultured bacterium. RNAcentral describes it as "bacterial SSU rRNA". It matches the Rfam family "Bacterial small subunit ribosomal RNA", at positions 355 to 776 of the family's 1533-position model. The record is from RNAcentral.